GUGAGGGGCAAUGCUUCUGGGGUAAUGUGAGAAGAAGGAUGACAAUAACUCCUGCCUAACUGGGUCUAGAUUACAAUUAUUAUAUUCAUGUGGGGCAAAAAAGAAAGCAUGUGGGGGCUGGUGGUGGGGGCAGUGGCAGUGGUGGUGGUGGUGGAGUUGCCAAUGCCAGCCAUCAAUAGUCCAUGACUCUUCUCCAAUCCUACUCUGUGCCUUCACUGCUCAAUUGUCCAAUACUCU
This 237-nucleotide unclassified non-coding RNA is filed under the name Hevea brasiliensis (rubber tree). The record is from RNAcentral. Lineage: Eukaryota; Viridiplantae; Streptophyta; Magnoliopsida; Malpighiales; Euphorbiaceae.